CCUGCGCGGUCGGCGGGCGCGGGUGUGCUCGCGCUCACGUAGAGGCUGCGGUCGCCUCCUCUCCCCGCGGCCGGCGCCUGGGGUUAUAAAAGGCUUACGGGCUCCCUCUGCUGCCCAGUCGCGCCGCCAGCGGGCAGAGGACGGAGGCGGUGGCCCGCCCGGUGCCGGCAGCAGGGCACGGAGGAACGCGCUCGCGCCCCGCUUCCCAGGUGUGUGAACCUGUAAAAUUAUGACUUCCAAGAUGAUCCGGUAUAUUUUAAUUGUAGGGAUUCUACUUCCCCAGUCUUUGGCCCAUCCAGGCUUUUUUACUUCAAUUGGUCAGAUGACUGAUUUGAUUCAUACAGAGAAAGAUCUGGUGAUUUCCCUGAAAGACUAUAUUAAGGCAGAAGAAGACAAAUUAGAACAAAUAAAAAAAUGGGCAGAGAAGUUAGAUCGGCUAACUAGCACAGCGACAAAAGAUCCAGAAGGAUUUGUCGGGCACCCUGUAAAUGCAUUCAAGUUAAUGAAACGUCUGAAUACUGAGUGGAGUGAGUUGGAGAAUCUCGUCCUUAAGGAUAUGUCAGAUGGCUUCAUCUCUAACCUGACCAUUCAGAGGCAGUACUUCCCUAAUGACGAAGAUCAGGUUGGGGCCGCCAAAGCCCUGUUGCGUCUCCAGGACACCUACAAUUUGGAUACGGAUACUAUCUCAAAGGGUAAUCUUCCAGGAGUAAAACACAAAUCUUUCCUAACAGUUGAGGACUGUUUUGAGUUGGGCAAAGUGGCCUAUACAGAAGCAGAUUAUUACCAUACAGAACUGUGGAUGGAGCAGGCGCUCAGGCAGCUGGAUGAAGGCGAGGUUUCUACCACUGAUAAGGUCUCUGUUCUAGAUUAUUUGAGCUACGCGGUGUACCAGCAGGGAGACCUCGAUAAGGCACUUCUGCUUACAAAGAAGCUUCUUGAACUAGAUCCUGAACAUCAGAGAGCUAAUGGUAACUUAAAAUAUUUUGAGUAUAUAAUGGCUAAAGAAAAAGAUGCCAAUAAAUCUGCUUCAGAUGACCAAUCUGAUCAGAAAACCACGCUGAAGAAAAAAGGGGUUGCCGCGGAUUACCUGCCAGAGAGACAGAAGUACGAAAUGCUGUGCCGUGGGGAGGGUAUCAAAAUGACUCCUCGGAGACAGAAAAAACUCUUUUGCCGCUACCAUGAUGGAAACCGGAAUCCUAAAUUUAUUCUGGCUCCAGCCAAACAGGAGGAUGAGUGGGACAAGCCUCGUAUUAUUCGCUUCCAUGAUAUUAUUUCUGAUGCAGAAAUUGAAAUUGUCAAAGAUCUAGCAAAACCAAGGCUGAGCCGAGCUACAGUACAUGACCCUGAGACUGGAAAAUUGACCACAGCACAGUACAGAGUAUCUAAGAGUGCCUGGCUCUCUGGCUAUGAAAACCCUGUGGUGUCUCGAAUUAAUAUGAGAAUACAAGAUCUAACAGGACUAGAUGUUUCCACAGCAGAGGAAUUACAGGUAGCAAAUUAUGGAGUGGGAGGACAGUAUGAACCCCAUUUUGAUUUUGCACGGAAAGAUGAGCCAGAUGCUUUCAAAGAGCUGGGGACAGGAAAUAGAAUUGCAACAUGGCUGUUUUAUAUGAGUGAUGUGUCCGCAGGAGGGGCCACCGUUUUUCCUGAAGUAGGAGCGAGUGUUUGGCCCAAAAAGGGAACUGCUGUUUUCUGGUAUAACCUAUUUGCCAGUGGAGAAGGAGAUUAUAGCACACGGCAUGCAGCGUGUCCAGUGCUAGUUGGAAACAAAUGGGAUUUGCCUGCUAUGACUUUAACAUUGAAUGGAUUCAACCAAGCAAGUUACCGAUCUUUUUUUUUUAAUCCUCAUCCGAGGAUAUAUUUUCUGUUGAUUUGUAAAAAGGGAGGGUGGGGGAGAGAGAAACAUCAAUCAGUUGCCUCCCGUACUCGCCCUGAUUGGGGAUUGAACCCGAAACCUAGGUAUGUGCCCUGAUCAAUAAUCAAACCUGUGACCUUUUCCUGUAAGGGACAAUGCUCCCACCAGCGGAGCCACCUGGCCAGGGCAAGUGUCCAAUAAAUGGCUCCAUGAACGUGGACAAGAAUUCCGCAGACCGUGCACCUUGUCGGAAUUGGAAUGACGUAGGCGUCUCUUCCUCUCCUGCUGCACUCGGAUGUGUCUGAUGCACAGUUCCCCGUCUUAACUGUCAAGAGUUUACAAGUGACUAACAUACACUCCAUGACUGAUUCAUUAUGAACCUCAUCCCGUGUUUCAUCUGUGGACAAUCACUAACUUUGUGGGUUUUUUCUUUUAAAAGUAACACUAAAUCACCACAUUGUACAAUAUAAAACCUUAAAGUUCAGUUGGUAUCACAGAGGACAAAGCAAGGCAGUUAAAAAUGAGGAAUUUUUACAUUUGUUAAAGAACAUUCUGGUUAGAUAAAAAAAUACACCUUACGCAUCUGAUUAUAGCAUAGCACUGCAUUUCAGUUGGUAGGUGGUCGGGUAGAAUGGGCCGUGCGAUUAAGGAAGAGAUGCCUGUAGUAUGUACCUGGUACUGUGCUUACCUAGUCUGUCUGAUUUUCCGGAUCUGCCGAAGACUAGGCAUAAACUAGGCCUCUAAUCUCGGUUCCAUACAGUGUGUGCUCCUCCCUCCACUUUCUAAGUAGAUUUUUUCCUCCCAAGUCCUUUUUAAAGAAACUAUACUGUAUUUUACCAAUCCCCCUUUCCUCUCGUAGGAGAAUUAAAUCUGUUUGAGGUAAAAUACUUUGAUUUAAAAAUUAACAUAAAGUCCUAUAUAACAACAGUGGGGCUUCUUAACUAAACUGAUCAUCAUUUGGUCUGUUUCUUUGUCCUUUUCCUAAAUGACUGAUGAUUUUGUCCAUAAAAUUUGUUGUUUUUCUUAAUGCUAAUACCUUGCCUCUUAUUCUUGCUACAGCAGGGUGGUGAUACUGGCUUUCUGAUUAAAUAUUGUGCCUUAGGAGACUGGAAAUUUAAAAAUGUACAAGUCCUUUCAAUGAUGAGAAAUUGAUUUUUUUAAAAAAGAUCUUUUUUCCUAAAAAGCCAAAAUGUUUUUUUCAAUUCUGAAAUGUGUUGUGACAAUGAUGACAUAUUUAUGAUCUUAAAUCUUUUUAAAAAAUG
This is an RNA transcript of Myotis myotis, 3117 nucleotides long. It is a transcript of the gene named prolyl 4-hydroxylase subunit alpha 1, with no coding region annotated. Lineage: Eukaryota; Metazoa; Chordata; Mammalia; Chiroptera; Vespertilionidae. The record is from RefSeq and is a predicted model, not a curated record. The transcript has 16 exons.